GUCCCCCAAGUUUGAACUUGGAGCAGGAUCAGUUAUCAAUAGAUAUUACUAUGAUAUUGAUUUUCCAAGAGGCCAUAUAGCACUGAAGAGUUUCAAUGCUGAAGUGAUUGAUGAAGCUGGGAACCCUGUGCCUCUCCAUGAAACUUACCUUCACCAUUGGGUUGUUGAAAGAUACCAUCAAAGUAAACAUGUGACACAAAAAGACACAAAAUAUGAUGAUGGGCAUCGAAUGCUUCAAGAGUCUGAUGAUUUUGUCAUUGUGAGGAACAGUGGAAUAUGCCAGAACAAUGCUCUUAGUCAGUAUUAUGGACUUGGUUCUGAAACUAGAGGAACAGCUACAGACAUUCCAGACCCUUUUGGCAUAGAAGUGGGAAACCCUGACGAAAUUCCAGAAGGGUAUGAGGAGAAAUGGAUGCUGAAUGUGCAUGCCAUUGAUACAAGAGGCGUAGAGGAUAAGUUGGGGUGCACUGAGUGCAGGUGUGACCUUUAUAAUGUCACAAAGGAUGAACAUGACAGGCCUUUGAGGCCAGAUUAUGUUGGAGGUUUGUUGUGUUGCUAUGAUUAUUCACAGUGUAAAUUGAGGGAAGGCUUUGAGGUUGAGAGCACAAAGAGAAGCCUCUACCUAAGAUACACAGUGAAAUGGGUUGAGUGGGACAAUUUUGUAGUGCCUGUUAAGAUAUACAUAAUUGAUGUGACUGAUACUUUGAAGAUAUCUGAUGAAUCCAAAGGAAUAACCAGCUCAGAUCAUAAUUGUGUGGUAAGUGAGUUCAUCAAGAAACAAUAUAUUAGUUCCUUGCUUUAUUGGGUGUAAUUGAGCACUAGAGAUUUAUUUGUUAAUUGUUACAGGUUGAGUAUGAAGUUGAACCUUGCAGCACAGACCAUAAGGAUGGUAAUGGCUGUCAUCAUGUGAAGAGGACAAGCCUCCCAAUGCAAACUGGUGGUUAUGUAAUCUAUGGUGUUGCUCAUCAGCACUCUGGGGCGGUUGGAUCAACUCUUUAUGGACAGGUUAUGCUCAUUCAAUAGUUACAACCAUUGAACCUUAGUUUUACAACUCUUUUCUCUUCAGUGUUUCUGUGUUUAGUUUCCAAUUGGGGAUCACAAAUGAUUCUUUGCUUCCGCAUUUACAAUUUUUUGUGUUUUUAAAUAUUUGAUUCCUCAGUUGAUUUUAGCUCCAAAGUCAGUUAGGAUAAAGUUACAAAUCCUAGCUUCUGCGGUGGGACGUAAUCACUUGGGGGAUUUCACCACAUUAUCCAAAGGAAAUCAGUUUCUCAUAAAUUUUUCUAAACAUAAAUAACUUUAUUUUCAACUAGUUUUUACUUUAACUAGUGAGGAUGGAAGCUGUGAUGUUGAUUUCUUAAUCCUUAGCUUUUAUUAAGACUAUUACUUUUUUUACUUUCUUUUGGAUACAAAAGGUGAUAAUGAGACCUGAACCUAUUUACACUCUCAAAUCCCUCACUAAUGACCCAAACCUUGUGACUUAAAUCUUCUUUUACUUUUUAUUAAGAAGUAAAAUACUGUAGUUUAGCUUGUGUUCUGAAAUUUGUUCAUGACCUUUUGCAGGAUGGGAGGGUUAUAUGUUCUUCUGUACCAAGCUAUGGAAAUGGAAACGAAGCAGGAAAUGAGGCAGGCUACAUUGUAGGAAUGUCCACUUGUUAUCCUCAUCCAGGUUCGGUCAAGAUACUUGACGGUGAAACUGUAACUAUUGAGUCUAAUUACAGCAGCAGCCAGAGGCACACUGGAGUUAUGGGGUUCUUCUACCUGUUGGUGGCAGAACAACUACCACACCAACACAUCAUACAUUCCACUCGUUCUUCAUUUUUUAUGGAUGUAAAAGGUAUAAUUUAUUGAUAGGUGUAGUGAGUGUCAUGCUAAUAUAAUAAGCAUAGGGGCAUCUAUGAUUUAUAUAAGCAAAGUGUCAUUGAUGAUAUCUUAGUGUAGAAUCAAAAGAAAUAAUGACAGGCCAGAGCAGUCAAUGGGCAUAUCAUAUUUUUCUCUGAAGGUAUUUACAGAAGCUUAUCCUCAAAUUUGAUUCUAGUUUUAGAAUCUUUUGUGGAAGAGUUUUGAAACAUGGUAGUAGUCAUAUAUAGUUUGUAAUGUUUUCUUAAACCAGUCUUGUUCAUAUUGGCAUAUGGCUAUGUGAUGUAUCUGUGGUACUGUAUAGCUAUACAUGUAAAAGGGUCUUUUGUUUUGUUGUUACACACAAGAGGCCAAGUUUUAUUUUACAUUAUUCUCAAGGAAUAAAUGUUGAGUAGCCCUCCCUAGUAUUACUGUUGUUGGUUCAAGCAUCUUCUCUUUGACCACAACAUAUAUAAUCCACUUUAUUUCUCAUUUCUUUCUUUCUACUCAUAUUUUUUCUUUACUUUCUCUGUUAUCUUUCUCUCAUCAACCAAACAAGGUAUUAACUUUUUCACCAUCCUUUACAUUUUUAUACCAUCCUCAUUUUUUCCUUUUGUAUUCCGCAAUUAUGUUUGCGGUGUGUAAUCAAUUCCCCAAACAUAUGUGAGUAAAUUGUUAAGAAUUCAAGUGUGAGUUGGAGUCCCAAUUGAUUUAGUAUAAGUGUGAUGAAGACUUUAUAAAAGAAGAGACUUACUCAAUGCCUUAAGGUUAUGAUUAAAGUUGUGGUGCUCAAAUCUCUCGGUGGUCUUCAUUGUUGGCUCAUUGAUGCAUGAUCUUAUUCUUUGUGCUACUCGGUUUCCCCAACAAGUGGUACCAAAGCCGAUAAACUCACUUGAAAGAGAGAGAUUGUUGAGAAUUCAAAUAUAAGUUUGAUUCCCACAUUAGUUAAAAAUGUGUGAGUCGAAUACUUUAUAAGAUAUAUGACCUAUAAACUCAACGCUUUAAGGUUUUGGGUAAAAAUGCGAUAUUAAAAUCUUUUGGCACUAGUUGGAAUCCACAUUAAUUAAAAAUGAGUGAAGCAAAAUCUUUAUAAGAAAUGUAAUCAUAAACCCAAUGUUUUAAAGUUUUGAAUAAAGCUGUAAUAUUUAAAUUUUUAAUAAUUACUACUGAUCUAUUAAUGUAUGGUCUCCCCUGCUAAUGAAAGUCAACCUUUGCCCUUUAAAACAACUAUUGCUUGUCUUUCUAAAUCAUACUCCCUCUGUUCCUGAUCUUUUGUUGUUUAAGGUUAUGCACAUUGUUUAAGAGUGCAAUUAUUGAAAUAUUUGUUGACAUAAACACCCUUAUUUAAUGUUGAGUUAGAGUUAAGAGAGAGAAUGAUAGUUAUUGGUUAAGAAACUUGUUAUGAUUUUGAUUGGUGAAAAUAAAAGGUGGUAGGUGAGAAAUGUAAUAUUAAAUGAGGGUAAACAUGGAAUAAGUUGAGAAAAAAUGCAUUGGAUUUGUAAAACAACAAAAGUUUUGAAAUUUUGACCAAAACUUAAAACAACAAAAGAUCAGGAACGGAGGGAGUAAAUCAUUAUGAAGAGUGUCACAUCUCAUAGUAGAGGAGAAGGCGGGCGCAAAGACCCGCAUCGAGCUUCCCCUGGGGCUUAGAGAGUUAUCUCUAGGUAUUAUCUACCUACCCACCUGUGUCUCCAUCUCCGGCCAAGGCCAACCGACCCCUUCAUCUUUCUUUCCAUCCCCGUGGCCCCGACCAGCAACUGCAAAUGAACACUUGCCUGCAUAACAUUUCUCUGUUAUGUAGAAUGGAUUCCGAGUUGAAACUUUGCUUGCCCACGAAUAGUACUGUCUCAUCAGCAACUUAGAUGACAAUACUUUAAUUUGCUCCUAUCUCCACCAACAUAAAUUGGGGGUAAGAAAAAUGUGGGUGUAGUACUAACAUCAAUUCCCACCAAACAAAGCAUCACUGUAUUUCUUCAUCACUUAUCUUGCUAUUACGUCAUGGCUUACAACACAUAAAAAGCGCUUAUAGUAUGAUUGAAUACCAUCUCUUAUGGUUUAACAUCAAAGAUUAACAACACUUUACGCCUUCUAAUUAUUCUUAUUUUAAAUCAGAAAUAUAAAUCAUAUCUUUAGGAGUUGAUUAUUGGACAUAAACCUCCCAAAUCAAUAGAAGAACCGGCUCUUACCAUUUAAUUAUCAUUUGGGAUGUAUUUUUUUUUACAUAGAAAAUCUAUUUGUUAGUAUAAUCUAUAGUAUUUAUUUAUUUAGUUACAAGACAUUUAAUUUAUAAAAUCGCUUUAAAAAAUUUAUAAAAUCCAAAUCUGUCGUGAAUUCAUAUGAUGCCAUUUAUUUGGCGUAUACGACGAGGUCUAUCCUUCCCAUCGAUCAUAUGCCACUUGUCCGCAUUUCCAUGUCGGUAGACAUCAACAUCUCAGUUCCAACAAAAACAUGGAAGGAACAAGAAAGAAGAUAAAUAGUUAGAGCAUCUACAUCUAUCAUAGUUACUAAAAUAUCUACACAUCAUUUUUUCAAUUUUCCAUAAUGCCACAUCAUCUACCAUAUUUUACUAACUUUUUACUCCAACCCAACAACUCUUAAAAGUUUCUAUAGUGGAUCUCACCAUCAACAUCACAUUUGUAUAUUAUUAUUUAUCUCAAUUUUAAUUAAUUGUAAGUGUUUGUAAUAAAUACAAGCUCAUCUUUCAAGUCUAGUGUGAAGUAUCUAUUCCCACAUACUCAUCUUUGUCAUGUUGGAAUUGAAUAUGUACUACAAUGGUAAUAGAUACUCAUAUGAGUAUGUAUUUAACAUUAGAUACUAACAUUGGAGAUGCUCUCAUGAAAUUUGAUAUUUUAUCAUUUAUGUGGAUAUGUUGAUACUCAUGCUAGUUAUUAAUGUUAGUAGUAAAUUAAUCAUUCUCAGGGUUCGAACUUGGAUCAUUCACCUUUUAUUCCACCUAAUCCACAUGUCUCUAGCUCUUACCAUUUGAGCUAUCUUUCAGGGACUUACUGUGUUGACUAUUCAUGUAGCAUGAGAAGCAGAUAAAUCCGGAAAAAAUAAGAGAAUUUAUUGGGAACCCUACAAAAGCCCAUCGUUAUUUUUUAUCUCUGUUCCUAUUCGUUUUCCCGUGAGGAAUUGUCAACCCAUUUGACUCUUUCAGUCAUUCCAAACUAAAGGAUUAGUAAAUGAGAAAAAGUUUGAUGCAUCGACGGUAUAAAUUUUUUUUACACCGUCAACCAAUCAGAUUUUAAGUAUGUGUCACAUCAAUUAAUGAAAUUAAAUAAAAUGAGAUAUUUUCUCACAUUAUUGAAAUCUGAUUAGUUGACGGUGUAAAAAAACUUUACACCAUCGGUGCAUAGAAAUCAAACUCUUAGUAAAUCAAAUAAUAAAUGGGUUGAAUAAUUAAUUAUAACAUGCCAAUAUAGGAGGAAAAUAACUUUUGUUUUAAAUUUUAAUAGAAACGAAAAUAUAUUUUAUGAUGUGGCAGAAUUUAAUUGAACGACGGUGUAAAAUUUGUUUACACUGGUAGAUUAUUAAUUACCAUCAUUUAUCCUUUAUAAAAGACUAGAACCAUUUAUAAAACAUGCGAUUAAAGUACUUCAUCAUCUAGAUGUCCCCAAGCGGGUUGUUUAUUGGAUUUGGUAAGUGCAUCUUUCCAUUGGUUUUUCUCAUUGUUAAUUUGAGAAAGUAAUAGUAAAGAUGCUCUAUACUAUAAUCAACGUUAGUUGAUGCUUUAUUUUAUAGUAUUACAAAGAUUUAUAGUUUUUUAUAAAUAAUAUACUUAAUUUAGUUUAAGUUAUUCAUGUUUAAUAUGAUCGUAUAUGUUUGGAGUAUCGUCUCAAAUGUGAUGUGAUAAAAAAAAAAUGGUUAAACUUGCUUUAUGAAAUUUAUCUUUGAUAAAAGUUAUUUUAUAUUGUAAAAAAUUUUAAGAUAAGGAAAUAGUGAACCAGUCCAAGGUAGGACAAGAUAGCCACUAAAAAACACAUUUACUCACCUAAAGGGACAAAUAUGGCACGUACGAGACACAUGUUCCUAUAAAAACAAAGUUAUUCUAAUACAUGAACAGAACACAUGAAAGAAAAUUGAUAAUAGAAUAAUACAAAGAAAUAAUUUCAUCUUUCUUUCCCUACUCCCUAGUGUGAAAAGCCAGAAUGCAUCGUUUUCCUUGAGUAAAGGUGUCACCGUCCUUUGGUCUAUAAAUUAAUGCAUUCACUUCUUUGUGACUGUCUGUCUCUCUAUAUCUCCAACCGUGUCAUUGUUCUCGCUUCGAGGUACACCAUUGAAGCUAUCUCCUUUUUUUUCAUCAUCAUCAUCAUCAUUCACAAUUUUGAAUAACCCACAUAGCAUCCUUUGUGCAUGCUUCUACCUCUCAUGCUGGAUUGAGUAUUGGACUAUAUGUUGUUUCUGAAUCAGUUUUUAUUUAUAGUCUUUGUCUGUUAAAGAUGAGAUGAGAUGACCCAAAUCUUCAUUUGAUGUUAAGACUUAAGUUUUUACUUUCCUCUUAUGUUCAUGUCCGUCCUUGCACAAUACUCUAUCCUUUUGCAUCACUUUUCCCCCUUUUUCCCAUGCUAAUUAUGAAUAUAAAUAUGAUUAACAACAGAUGCUGAUUAUAGCUUUUUUUCUUUAUUUUUUUUGUUGGCCUUGAGUUUAGUAUAAGAUAAUCAUCUUCAAGGUUAAAUUUUCAUACUUUUUCAUCCAGGAUUUUCUAGUUUAUUUGCCUAAAUUCAUACACAAACAUAUAUGCUAUUGCCCUUGUUAACAUUGUUCUGUAAUCCUUGUUUGGCUAAUCACUUUGUUGUCUUUAUAGAGAUUCUAGAUUUCCAUUUUUGGUCAUUUCUGAUUGCAGAAUUUUCUCUUGUACUGUGUAGUUAUAUAGUGAAUUUUAGGAAGAUAGUGCCUUUUUUACAAUCCAAUAGCUCCUUUUUAUCAGCUUCUCUUUUAUCACAAUCAAUUUCAUAAACCAGAAGCUAUCCGCAGAAGUUUCUCUCCAUAAUUAAUUUUGCCUGAAUCAAUGGUAGAAUAAUUUUCAAACAUGCACGACAUAUGUUCCAUGUAUUUUUUCAAUCAAUAGUUAGUUGAUUACUGAUAAAGAAUUUGCUUACAGAUCAACAUGGGCUCGGUAUCUAGAAAUUUUGUACUUUCUUUGGCAUUACUUCUGGCAACAUGUUCAGGAAUUUUGGGGAGAACUGAGAACAAUAUAAAAACAGCUGUUUUUCUGUCCCCAAAAUUUGAACUUGGAGCAGGAUCAGUUAUCAAUAGAUAUUACUAUGGUAUUGAUUUUCCAAGAGGUCAUAUAGCAAUGAAGAGUUUCAAUGCUGAAGUGAUUGAUGAAGCUGGGAACCCUGUGCCUCUCCAUGAAACUUACCUUCACCAUUGGGUUGUUGCAAGAUACCAUCAAAGUAAAAAACAUGUGACAACACACACAGACAAAAGCUAUGAUAAUGGACAUCGAAUGCUUCACGAGUCUGAUGAUUUUGUUAUGGUGAGGAACAAUGGCAUAUGCCAGAGGAAUGU
RNAcentral lists this long non-coding RNA (7347 nucleotides) under Lotus japonicus. Its description in RNAcentral is "long non-coding RNA (LJAP_LNC001746)". Lineage: Eukaryota; Viridiplantae; Streptophyta; Magnoliopsida; Fabales; Fabaceae. The record is from RNAcentral.